This 441-nucleotide ribosomal RNA is filed under the name uncultured bacterium. Its description in RNAcentral is "partial 16S ribosomal RNA". It matches the Rfam family "Bacterial small subunit ribosomal RNA", at positions 338 to 795 of the family's 1533-position model. The record is from RNAcentral.
CCUACGGGUGGCAGCAGUGGGGAAUAUUGCACAAUGGGGGAAACCCUGAUGCAGCAACGCCGCGUGAGUGAAGAAGUAUUUCGGUAUGUAAAGCUCUAUCAGCAGGGAAGAAGAAAGACGGUACCUGACUAAGAAGCCCCGGCUAACUACGUGCCAGCAGCCGCGGUAAUACGUAGGGGGCAAGCGUUAUCCGGAUUUACUGGGUGUAAAGGGAGCGUAGACGGCUGUGCAAGUCUGAAGUGAAAGCCCGUGGCUCAACCGCGGAACUGCAUUUGAAACUGUUGGUCUUGAGUAUCGGAGAGGCAGGCGGAAUUCCUAGUGUAGCGGUGAAAUGCGUAGAUAUUAGGAGGAACACCAGUGGCGAAGGCGGCCUGCUGGACGACAACUGACGGUGAGGCGCGAAAGCGUGGGGAGCAAACAGGAUUAGAUACCCUGGUAGUC